CAAAGGCUUGGUCCUGACUUUACUGUCAACUCUGGCUAGAUUUACACAUGCAAGUCUCCGCACCCCCGUGAGAAUGCCCUACAGUUUCCCUUCCUGAAACAAGGAGCAGGUAUCAGGCACACUACAGUAGCCCACUACACCUUGCUUAGCCACACCCCCAAGGGAUCUCAGCAGUGAUAAAUAUUAAGCAAUAAGUGAAAACUUGACUUAGUUAUAAGCCUACAGGGCCGGUUAAACUCGUGCCAGCCACCGCGGUUAUACGAGAGGCCCAAGCUGACAGACCCUCGGCGUAAAGUGUGGUUAAAUAGUGUACCUACUAAGGUCGAAUGCAGUCAAAACUGUUAUACGUAAUCGAAUGCUAGAAGCCCCGUCACGAAAGUAACCUUAUAAUAUUGAACCCACGAAAGCUAGGACACAAACUGGGAUUAGAUACCCCACUAUGCCUAGCACUAAACCUAGAUGAACAUAUUACGUAAUCAUCCGCCUGGGAACUACGAGCACUAGCUCAAAACCCAAAGGACUUGGCGGUGCUUAACAUCCCCCUAGAGGAGCCUGUUCUAGAACCGAUAACCCUCGUUAAACCUCACUUUUUCUUGCCCGCCACCGCCUAUAUACCGCCGUCGUCAGCUUACCCUAUGAAGGACAAACAGUAAGCAGAAUCAGUAAUACUCAAAACGUCAGGUCGAGGUGUAGCAAAUGAAAGAGGAAGAAAUGGGCUACAUUUCCUACGCCGCAGGAAAUACGAAAAGUUUACUGAAAGCUAAACUAGAAGGAGGAUUUAGUAGUAAGGGAGAAAUAGAGUGUCUCCCUGAAAUUGGCCCUUAAGCGCGCACACACCGCCCGUCACUCUCCCCGAGCUAAAAAAUAUCAAUUCAUAAUACCUAUUAACAGCAAAGGGGAGGCAAGUCGUAACAUGGUAAGUGUACCGGAAGGUGUACUUGGGUAAAU
This is a non-coding RNA of Salarias fasciatus (jewelled blenny), 948 nucleotides long. NCBI's taxonomy places the organism in Eukaryota, Metazoa, Chordata, Actinopteri, Blenniiformes, Blenniidae. The record is from the annotation of a RefSeq genome assembly.